UGGGGAAUAUUGCACAAUGGGCGCAAGCCUGAUGCAGCCAUGCCGCGUGUAUGAAGAAGGCCUUCGGGUUGUAAAGCACUUUCAGCGGGGAGGAAGGCGAUAAGGUUAAUAACCUUGUCGAUUGACGUUACCCGCAGAAGAAGCACCGGCUAACUCCGUGCCAGCAGCCGCGGUAAUACGGAGGGUGCAAGCGUUAAUCGGAAUUACUGGGCGUAAAGCGCACGCAGGCGGUUUGUUAAGUCAGAUGUGAAAUCCCCGGGCUCAACCUGGGAACUGCAUCUGAUACUGGCAAGCUUGAGUCUCGUAGAGGGGGGUAGAAUUCCAGGUGUAGCGGUGAAAUGCGUAGAGAUCUGGAGGAAUACCGGUGGCGAAGGCGGCCCCCUGGACGAAGACUGACGCUCAGGUGCGAAAGCGUGGGGAGCAAACAGG
This 429-nucleotide ribosomal RNA is filed under the name Chloroflexota bacterium. Its description in RNAcentral is "Chloroflexi bacterium partial 16S ribosomal RNA". It matches the Rfam family "Bacterial small subunit ribosomal RNA", at positions 355 to 776 of the family's 1533-position model. The record is from RNAcentral. Lineage: Bacteria; Bacillati; Chloroflexota.